Molecule: long non-coding RNA, 1001 nt
Filed under: Junco hyemalis (dark-eyed junco)
Lineage: Eukaryota; Metazoa; Chordata; Aves; Passeriformes; Passerellidae
Description: lncRNA (ENSJHYG00000007049.1)
Source: RNAcentral
GCGGCGGGGUCAGGGGACACGGGGGGCGCCACCAUCACCGUGUCCCCGUCCCUCGGGGGGUCCCGGCGCUCACCCAGGGCGGUGCCGUCGGCGCUGACGAGCACGCGCGUGACGGGGGCGCGCACGAGCACGGCGCCCCCCGCCCGCUCGAUGACGGGCACGGCGUGGAAGGCGACCUCGCUGGCCCCCCCCCGCGGGUACCAGGCCCCGCGCUGGUAGUGGUGAACCAUCAGCGCGUUCACCAGGAAGCUCGAGUCCCGCGGGGCCGUGCCUGCGGCGACAUGAGGGGACACGGGCACGGCUGGAGCCCGCCGCAGGGCGGGGCAGCCCUCCCGUGUCGCGACAGAGCGCUCCUCACCGCGAUAUCGCCCUCCCUUGUUGCGACAUAGCCCUCCGCUGGCACCACGGUGGUCUCCCAUACCGCGACACAUCCCUCUGCUAUCGCGACACGGCCCUCCCGCAGUGUCACGUGGACUCUCUGUAUCGCGACAUUGCUCUUCCCGCCGCCCCCAUCCCGACACAGCGCUGCCCAUAUCGCGAUGGUGCCACCCCCUAUGGUGACACAACUGCAGUACCGCCCUCCUCCUCCAGCCGGCGCCCUCCCUGUCGCGACAGCCCCUCCCUGUCGCGACGGCCCCUGACCGUAGAAGAGGUAUCCGAAGAGGGCGCGCAGGUCGGGGUUGGAGGUGAGGCGGGCGGCGGCCUGGCUGUGGCUGGUGGCGGCCAUGCGGAACACGGGCGACAGGCGGGGCAGGAGCCCCGAGCGCAGCAGGACGGUGACAAGCCAGCGAGGGGACAGCUUCAGCAGGGCCAGCAGCGCCGCGUGCCGCGAGGCCACCUGCGGGACAGCCACAGUGCCACCGCCACCACCCACAGCAGCUGGGGACAGCCACAGUGCCACCAUCAUCACCCACAGCAGCUGGGGACAGCCACAGUGCCACCGCCGCCACACACAGCAGCUGGGGACAGCCUGAGCGCAGCCACCUGUGUGCCACCAGCAA